RNAcentral lists this ribosomal RNA (603 nucleotides) under uncultured fungus. RNAcentral describes it as "eukaryotic LSU rRNA". It matches the Rfam family "Eukaryotic large subunit ribosomal RNA", at positions 23 to 641 of the family's 3401-position model. Lineage: Eukaryota; Fungi. The record is from RNAcentral.
ACCCGCUGAACUUAAGCAUAUCAAUAAGCGGAGGAAAAGAAACCAACAGGGAUUGCCCUAGUAACGGCGAGUGAAGCGGCAACAGCUCAAAUUUGAAAUCUGGCGUCUUUGGCGUCCGAGUUGUAAUUUGCAGAGGGCGCUUUGGCAUUGGCAGCGGUCCAAGUUCCUUGGAACAGGACGUCACAGAGGGUGAGAAUCCCGUACGUGGUCGCUAGCCUUUACCGUGUAAAGCCCCUUCGACGAGUCGAGUUGUUUGGGAAUGCAGCUCUAAAUGGGAGGUAAAUUUCUUCUAAAGCUAAAUACUGGCCAGAGACCGAUAGCGCACAAGUAGAGUGAUCGAAAGAUGAAAAGCACUUUGGAAAGAGAGUUAAAAAGCACGUGAAAUUGUUGAAAGGGAAGCGCUUGCAGCCAGACUUGCCUGUAGUUGCUCAUCCGGGUUUUUACCCGGUGCACUCUUCUAUAGGCAGGCCAGCAUCAGUUUGGGCGGUUGGAUAAAGGUCUCUGUCAUGUACCUCUCUUCGGGGAGAGCUUAUAGGGGAGACGACAUGCAACCAGCCCGGACUGAGGUCCGCGCAUCUGCUAGGAUGCUGGCGUAAUGGCUGU